This is a non-coding RNA of Cinara cedri, 131 nucleotides long. The record is from the annotation of a GenBank genome assembly. Lineage: Eukaryota; Metazoa; Arthropoda; Insecta; Hemiptera; Aphididae.
UGAAACUUACCGUUGUAUGUAAAAAAUCGAUUUAAAAGUUAAUAGAUUGGAAAUUAUACAUAAUAUUGAAUUUUACUCUUACAAAUUUACCAAUUUUUAAAUCGAUUUUUUACAUACAAUGGUAAGUUUCA